UUGGAGGGCAAGUCUGGUGCCAGCAGCCGCGGUAAUUCCAGCUCCAAUAGCGUAUAUUAAAGUUGUUGCAGUUAAAAAGCUCGUAGUUGAAUUUCGGGGUCAGUAGUUUGGUCGUGCCACUGGUAUGUACUGGGCUCACUGAUUCCUCCUUCCUGAUGAACUGUAAUGCCAUUAAUUUGGUGUUGCAGGGAAACUGGACUGUUACUUUGAAAAAAUUAGAGUGUUUAAAGCAGGCUAACGCUUGAAUACAUUAGCAUGGAAUAAUGAAAUAGGACGUUCGAUCCUAUUUUGUUUGUUUCUAGGAUUGACGUAAUGAUUAAUAGGGAUAGUUGGGGGCAUUAGUAUUCAAUUGUCAGAGGUGAAAUUCUUGGAUUUAUUGAAGACUAACUACUGCGAAAGCAUUUGCCAAGGAUGUUUUCAUUAAUCAAGAACGAAAGUUAGGGGAUCGAAGACGAUCAGAUACCGUCGUAGUCUUAACCAUAAACUAUGCCGACUAGGGAUCGGAUGAUAUUAAUUUUUUAAUGACUCAUUCGGCGCCUUACGGGAAAC
Molecule: ribosomal RNA, 549 nt
Filed under: uncultured Rhizophagus
Lineage: Eukaryota; Fungi; Glomeromycota; Glomeromycetes; Glomerales; Glomeraceae
Description: SSU rRNA
Rfam family: Eukaryotic small subunit ribosomal RNA
Source: RNAcentral